This 495-nucleotide ribosomal RNA is filed under the name uncultured Sphingobacterium sp. RNAcentral describes it as "bacterial SSU rRNA". It matches the Rfam family "Bacterial small subunit ribosomal RNA", at positions 9 to 492 of the family's 1533-position model. Lineage: Bacteria; Pseudomonadati; Bacteroidota; Sphingobacteriia; Sphingobacteriales; Sphingobacteriaceae. The record is from RNAcentral.
GAGUUUGAUCCUGGCUCAGAAUGAACGCUAGCGGCAGGCUUAAUACAUGCAAGUCGAGGGGCAGCAUGUCCGUAGCAAUACGGAUGAUGGCGACCGGCAAACGGGUGCGGAACACGUACAGAACCUUCCUUCGAGCGGGGAAUAGCCCAGAGAAAUUUGGAUUAAUACCCCAUAGCAUAACGGAGUGGCAUCACUUUGUUAUUAAAGAUUUAUCACUUGAAGAUGGCUGUGCGGCUGAUUAGAUAGUUGGCGGGGUAACGGCCCACCAAGUCUACGAUCAGUAACUGGUGUGAGAGCACGACCAGUCACACGGGCACUGAGACACGGGCCCGACUCCUACGGGAGGCAGCAGUAAGGAUAUUGGUCAAUGGACGAAAGUCUGAACCAGCCGUGCCGCGUGGAGGAUGAAGGCCCUCUGGGUUGUAAACUUCUUUUAUAUUGGGACGAAAAAAGGAUCUUUCGUAGAUUCAACUGACGGUACCAUGUGAAUAAGCA